GAAAAUCAGCUACAUAACGCGAUUCCCUUGGGUAUUGUGAACCUCCCUAAUCUGAGAUUCUUCGAUCUUAGCAGUAAUUAUCUCACUGGCCCUGUGCUUGUUGAUUUUGAGAAACUUGGACGUUUGGAAUAUUUGGUUUUGGAGAAUAACAAGUUCACAGGAAUAAUUCCAUCUUCAAUUAGAUAUUUAUCUUUUCUGAGUUUUGUCUUCAUGAAGUUCAACAAUUUCAAUGGAAGCAUACCCGCAAGUCUUGCAACCUGUCGUAACUUGAUCGUGUUGGAUCUCUCUCAUAAUAGUCUCAGUGGUUCCAUACCUCCAGAGGUUAUCGGCCUUCAAUCCCUUUCAAU
Molecule: unclassified non-coding RNA, 347 nt
Filed under: Hevea brasiliensis (rubber tree)
Lineage: Eukaryota; Viridiplantae; Streptophyta; Magnoliopsida; Malpighiales; Euphorbiaceae
Source: RNAcentral